GCCGGACAUGGCGGUGCAUGUCUGUAGUCCCAGCUACUUGGGAGGCUGAGGUGGGAGAAUUGCUUGAGCCCAGGAGUUCUGGGUUGUAGUGUGCUAUGCCGAUCAGGUGUCCGCACUAAGUUUGGCAUCAAUGUGGUGACCUCCCGGGAGCAGGGGACCACCAGGUUGCCUGAGGAGGGGUGAACUGGUCCAGGUCGGAAACAGAGCAGGUCACAACUCCUGUGCUGAUCAGCAGUGGGACUGCACCCGUGAAUAGCCACUGCACUCCAGCCUGGGCAACAAUAGCGAGACCCCAUCUCU
Molecule: signal recognition particle RNA, 300 nt
Filed under: Cebus imitator (Panamanian white-faced capuchin)
Lineage: Eukaryota; Metazoa; Chordata; Mammalia; Primates; Cebidae
Description: Metazoan signal recognition particle RNA (ENSCCAG00000006604.1)
Rfam family: Metazoan signal recognition particle RNA
About the family: The signal recognition particle (SRP) is a universally conserved ribonucleoprotein. It is involved in the co-translational targeting of proteins to membranes. The eukaryotic SRP consists of a 300-nucleotide 7S RNA and six proteins: SRPs 72, 68, 54, 19, 14, and 9.
Source: RNAcentral